This 524-nucleotide ribosomal RNA is filed under the name uncultured bacterium. RNAcentral's name for it is "bacterial SSU rRNA". It matches the Rfam family "Bacterial small subunit ribosomal RNA", at positions 984 to 1509 of the family's 1533-position model. The record is from RNAcentral.
ACAUCCAGAGAACUUUCCAGAGAUGGAUUGGUGCCUUCGGGAACUCUGAGACAGGUGCUGCAUGGCUGUCGUCAGCUCGUGUUGUGAAAUGUUGGGUUAAGUCCCGCAACGAGCGCAACCCUUAUCCUUUGUUGCCAGCGGUUAGGCCGGGAACUCAAAGGAGACUGCCAGUGAUAAACUGGAGGAAGUGGGGAUGACGUCAAGUCAUCAUGGCCCUUACGAGUAGGGCUACACACGUGCUACAAUGGCGCAUACAAAGAGAAGCGACCUCGCGAGAGCAAGCGGACCUCAUAAAGUGCGUCGUAGUCCGGAUUGGAGUCUGCAACUCGACUCCACGAAGUCGGAAUCGCUAGUAAUCGUGGAUCAGAAUGCCACGGUGAAUACGUUCCCGGGCCUUGUACACACCGCCCGUCACACCAUGGGAGUGGGUUGCAAAAGAAGUAGGUAGCUUAACCUUCGGGAGGGCGCUUACCACUUUGUGAUUCAUGACUGGGGUGAAGUCGUAACAAGGUAGGCGUAGUGCU